UAUACUCUGACCAAACAUGUAGCCCAGAGUUGGCAAAUAUUUUUCUGAUGUAUUUCCUUGCCCUUUCUUUACCACGCGGAUUGGUGAUGUGAUGACGUGGUUUGGAGAAUUUUCUCAGCGUGUAUCGUAGUGUUUGUAUUGAAUCGCUAUGGAUAUCCUUCAUGACGUCACACGCUGUUGCUGUGGCAACUAAAUACAAGAAUUCGGAGGUUGGCGCCACAUUUUACAUCCAAGUUAUUAUAUUUCCGUUGAAGAUUUACACUUCAGGAUUUAGAGAUCAUCCUGCUGUAUCAGAGAAUAUACAAAACAGUUCCGUUCCUCUGAAUUGAGUUGUUGAAAUAUGCUGUUAACAUUUUUCGGUAAAAACGGGAUUUUACUCUAUAUAAGAUAACGUUCGCUGCUUAUUUUUGUGCUUAACAAGAUAAAAAGUUCGAGUGUUGUUCUGGUUCUUGCGCUAAUAUUCAUCCAGCGUCAUUACGCAAGAUUAUAAAUCGACAAAAAUUUGCGGUUGCAAGAUUACGCGCAGAUGUAUUAAAAUUGCUGUCAAGGUCACAACAAAUUUCAAAGAAUUCCAGCAAAGAAUCGGAAACAAUUGAUUUACAAGACAAACUAACCUGUUUUGGAUCGUCAAUGAUUGCAUACGCCCACAGACCAGUUCUAGGAUAGAUUUGAUCAACUAGCAUAGGUCGUUCAUCAAUUUGCGCCAUA
Long non-coding RNA from Dendronephthya gigantea, 708 nucleotides. RefSeq lists it as uncharacterized. The transcript has 7 exons. The record is from RefSeq and is a predicted model, not a curated record. Lineage: Eukaryota; Metazoa; Cnidaria; Anthozoa; Malacalcyonacea; Nephtheidae.